Molecule: long non-coding RNA, 1455 nt
Organism: Parus major (Great Tit)
Lineage: Eukaryota; Metazoa; Chordata; Aves; Passeriformes; Paridae
Exons: 2
Source: RefSeq, a predicted model, not a curated record
CCCGGGCCCGGCCGGCCCCGCCCUGCGCACAGGUUCGGCCAUGUCGCUCGGCGGGCACAAGGUGGCACCUCACGAAGAUUAUUUUUGGCUGGUCUGCUGCAAUUUACAGACUCAGAGAAACGGGAAACUCUAAUCUCUCAGUGCGCCCAGGCAGCAUGGGAGGAAAACACGAAGCCUGAGCUCUCUGUUCCCGUUCUUUGGCUCAGUUGGUACAAUGAGUCAGAAAUGAGGCACCGGAGACUGAAAGGCAGAGAAAUGAACACACUGAGAGAAAAAGGCAGUGUCACUUGCAAAGCAGACAGUGUCAUUUUGGCCUGCUGUAGUAGCAGAGAUGCUGUGAUGGACUGCAUUUAUGAUUUAAAAACUCUGUGUAUUUUAUCCUCAGGGUGGUAACUCUGAGCUUUCUGAUGCUUUUGACUUUGAACUUGGAGUAAAAGUUCACCCUUGCGGAGAGUGACCCACUUUGAAAAGCUUUCCACUCUACAGCCAGACAAAAAGCUUUGCACAAUUUUGGUACCAAUAUUAAAGAAAGCUGAAAUCAAACUAGAAAUGAUAGACAAGGGAAAGCUUAGUCUCUCUUACAAGAGGAGGCUCUGACACUUUCAUUGCUUAUCAUGAUAGUACAAAACCUGUUCUUUUUUUUCUUUAAACAUAUCAGGGUCAGGGGUAAAAACCUGAGCAUGGAAGAAGCUGAAAAGAAAUGCCUCCAUCUUAAAGUAAGGGACAAUUGGGAAACCAGAAGGUUUCUGUGUGGCAAGCCAGAGAAGGUCCUCCCAGGAGAGUGCAAGAUGCAGGAAUCUUUAUUCAUUGAUAAGAAGACCUUGAUAGUUUUAGCUAGGAGAGAGAUAACAGGACAGAAAUGCCUGCAAUGAUCCAGGGGCAGCAUCUGUUCCAUAUUUUCACCUGACGACUGCUCAGCCACCACUAUGAAGAAGGGCUGGCUUGGAGAUUUACUGCUAAGCCCUGGGGCUGGCAGACAACAGGAACAUAAAAUAUGGGGAGAAGCUCUGAGGGCUGUAGAGUAUUCAAAAGACAUGCAGAAUGAAAGAUCCUAUGUUGCUUUAAUGGUUUGUUCCAAAAUAUUGUGUACUUCAAAGUACUGACUACGCUAACUCUUCUAAGAUGCUAGUUACACCCUAGCAGCUGUAAACUCCUUUCUAAAAAGUUUGUUGUCCUUUUUGCCUCAGUUUAUGUGAUUAUUCUAGUUUCUAGUAAUUAAGAUUGCAUUUCAUGAUUCUCAACCUUAUUCAAUUAAUGUUUACAGCUUUCCAUGCUACAAAAAUAAUACUUGUCAUUAUUUUAAUUAAAUUAUUCAUAAAUGGCAUUGGUUCCACUUCAGAUGUAUGUAUAAUGAGAACAGGACCGAGGAGACACAUAAUUAAUCAUAAAUUUUGAUGUAUUUUUUUAUGUUAAUUGAAGAUACAUGGAACUGUUCACAUUAAAUGCAAUUUUUUU